RNAcentral lists this long non-coding RNA (314 nucleotides) under Ananas comosus (pineapple). RNAcentral describes it as "long non-coding RNA (ACOM_LNC020814)". Lineage: Eukaryota; Viridiplantae; Streptophyta; Magnoliopsida; Poales; Bromeliaceae. The record is from RNAcentral.
UGAGUUAGUUACUGGACUUUGGCUUUCGAGAGCCUGAUUGAGCUCGACAGAGAUACGCUGCAUACUCGGUUGGGUAGCGCCCACGAGUGCCACUCCGGAGACGGGCUUUGUGCUUUCGCGUUGGUGUCGCUCAUGCCGGUUGGACUUGCUCUCUACGGACCUGUUAGUGUGGAGGUAGCUGGAUAGUCGCAACUGGGCAGGGACGGGUGUAUUCACAGUCCCAGGGACGGGUAUGUUUACAGUCCCGAUUGGAUUGGGUCAGAGUUGACAUUUCCUACAGUUGGUUAGUGUAGAGCAUGAUAGUGUAGUGAUUG